CGCCAGACUCCUACGGGAGGCAGCAGUGGGGAAUAUUGCACAAUGGGGGAAACCCUGAUGCAGCGACGCCGCGUGAGUGAAGAAGUAUUUCGGUAUGUAAAGCUCUAUCAGCAGGGAAGAAAAUGACGGUACCUGAUUAAGAAGCCCCGGCUAACUACGUGCCAGCAGCCGCGGUAAUACGUAGGGGGCAAGCGUUAUCCGGAUUUACUGGGUGUAAAGGGAGCGUAGACGGUGAUGCAAGUCAGAAGUGAAAGCCCGGGGCUCAACUCCGGGACUGCUUUUGAAACUGUGUGACUGGAGUGCAGGAGAGGUAAGCGGAAUUCCUGGUGUAGCGGUGAAAUGCGUAGAUAUCAGGAGGAACACCAGUGGCGAAGGCGGCUUACUGGACUGUAACUGACGUUGAGGCUCGAAAGCGUGGGGAGCAAACAGGAUUAGAUACCCCCGUA
RNAcentral lists this ribosomal RNA (446 nucleotides) under uncultured bacterium. Its description in RNAcentral is "bacterial SSU rRNA". It matches the Rfam family "Bacterial small subunit ribosomal RNA", at positions 329 to 792 of the family's 1533-position model. The record is from RNAcentral.